GACGAACGCUGGCGGCGUGCUUAACACAUGCAAGUCGAGCGGUAAGGCCCUUUCGGGGGUACACGAGCGGCGAACGGGUGAGUAACACGUGGGUGACCUGCCCUCAGCUCUGGGAUAAGCCUGGGAAACCGGGUCUAAUACUGGAUAUGACUCCAUGACGCAUGUUGUGGGGUGGAAAGCCUUGUGCGGCUGAGGAUGGGCCCGCGGCCUAUCAGCUUGUUGGUGGGGUGAUGGCCUACCAAGGCGACGACGGGUAGCCGGCCUGAGAGGGCGACCGGCCACACUGGGACUGAGACACGGCCCAGACUCCUACGGGAGGCAGCAGUGGGGAAUCUUGCGCAAUGGGCGAAAGCCUGACGCAGCGACGCUGCGUGAGGGAUG
This 381-nucleotide ribosomal RNA is filed under the name uncultured bacterium. RNAcentral describes it as "bacterial SSU rRNA". It matches the Rfam family "Bacterial small subunit ribosomal RNA", at positions 28 to 410 of the family's 1533-position model. The record is from RNAcentral.